RNAcentral lists this ribosomal RNA (730 nucleotides) under Klebsiella pneumoniae. Its description in RNAcentral is "bacterial SSU rRNA". It matches the Rfam family "Bacterial small subunit ribosomal RNA", at positions 659 to 1421 of the family's 1533-position model. Lineage: Bacteria; Pseudomonadati; Pseudomonadota; Gammaproteobacteria; Enterobacterales; Enterobacteriaceae. The record is from RNAcentral.
GGGUAGAAUCCAGGUGAGCGGUGAAAUGCUAGAGAUCUGGAGGACCGGUGGCGAAGGCGGCCCCCUGGACAAAGACUGACGCUCAGGUGGAAAGCGUGGGGAGCAAACAGGAUUAGAUCCCUGGUAGUUCACGCCUAAACGAUGUCGAUUUGGAGGUUGUGCCCUGAGGCGUGGCUUCCGGAGCUAACGCGUUAAAUCGACCGCCUGGGGAGUACGGCCGCAAGGUUAAACUCAAAUGAAUUGACGGGGGCCCGCACAAGCGGUGGAGCAUGUGGUUUUUCGAUGCAACGCGAAGAACCUUACCUGGUCUUGACAUCCAGAACUUUCCAGAGAUGUUGGUGCCUUCGGGAACUGUGAGACAGGUGGCAUGGCUGUCGUCAGCUCGUGUUGUGAAAGUUGGGUUAACCCGCAACGAGCGCAACCCUUAUCCUUUGUUGCCAGCGGUUCGGCCGGGAACUCAAAGGAGACUGCCAGUGAUAAACUGGAGGAAGGUGGGGAUGACGUCAAGUCAUCAUGGCCCUUACGACCGCUACACACGUGCUACAAUGGCAUAUACAAAGAGAAGCGACCUCGCGAGAGCAAGCGGACCUCAUAAAGGUCGUAGUCCGGAUGAGUUUGCAACUCGACUCCAUGAAGUCGGAAUCGCUAGUAAUCGUAGAUCAGAAUGCUCGGUGAAUACGUUCCCGUUCCUUGUAACCCCGCCCGUCACACCAUGGGAGUGGGUUGCAAA